CAGAAGAGGAUGGUGGAAGAGACAGCCUGUGGAGGAGUGAUCAGGCUGGGACUGCAGGGAGGUUCUCUGUGACUGGUACAGGAAAGUACUUCAUGGUUGCUGAGUGGUUCUAGAGGAGAUACAUGUAAGGUGAGUAGAAACCUGGCACUUGUAUCUAAUGUGAUAGACUCUUUCUUCCCUGCAGGGAAUCACUUCAGUCACUGCCAUUACAGUGCUCUACUUCCUCUCUCGGAGAAUUCCCCUUCCUAGAAGGACCAAGAUGGCAGCAGUGACUCUGCUGGCUUUGGCGUAUACACAGGUGGGCUUGGGCAUCAGCACACUGCUGAUGUAUGUCCCAACUCCUCUGGCCGCCACUCACCAGUCAG
RNAcentral lists this small RNA (365 nucleotides) under Pan troglodytes (chimpanzee). RNAcentral describes it as "processed transcript". The record is from RNAcentral. Lineage: Eukaryota; Metazoa; Chordata; Mammalia; Primates; Hominidae.